GAGAACGUGGGGGAUCUUCGGACCUCACGCUAUUAGAUGAGCCUAGGUCGGAUUAGCUAGUUGGUGAGGUAAUGGCUCACCAAGGCGACGAUCCGUAACUGGUCUGAAAGGAUGAUCAGUCACACUGGAACUGAGACACGGUCCAGACUCCUACGGGAGGCAGCAGUGGGGAAUAUUGGACAAUGGGCGAAAGCCUGAUCCCGCCAUGCCCCGUGUGUGAAGAACGUCUUCAGGUCUUCGGAUUGUAAAGCACUUUAAGUUGGGAGCAAGGGCAGUUACCUAAUACGUGAUUGUUUUGACGUUACCGACAGAAUAAGCACCGGCUAACUCUGUGCCAGCAGCCGCGGUAAUACAGAGGGUGCAAGCGUUAAUCGGAAUUACUGGCGUAAAGCGCGCGUAGGUGGUUUGUUAAGUUGGAUGUGAAAUCCCCGGGCUCAACCUGGGAACUGCAUCCAAAACUGGCAAGCUAGAGUAUGGUAGAGGGUGGUGGAAUUUCCUGUGUAGCGGUGAAAUGCGUAGAUAUAGGAAGGAACACCAGUGGCGAAGGCGACCACCUGGACUGAUACUGACAC
RNAcentral lists this ribosomal RNA (572 nucleotides) under Pseudomonas fluorescens. RNAcentral's name for it is "bacterial SSU rRNA". It matches the Rfam family "Bacterial small subunit ribosomal RNA", at positions 200 to 746 of the family's 1533-position model. The record is from RNAcentral. Lineage: Bacteria; Pseudomonadati; Pseudomonadota; Gammaproteobacteria; Pseudomonadales; Pseudomonadaceae.